Molecule: ribosomal RNA, 274 nt
Filed under: uncultured bacterium
Lineage: Bacteria
Description: partial 16S ribosomal RNA
Rfam family: Bacterial small subunit ribosomal RNA
Source: RNAcentral
AUACGGAGGGUGCAAGCGUUGUUCGGAAUUACUGGGCGUAAAGCGCGCGUAGGUGGUCUGUUAUGUCAGAUGUGAAAGUCCACGGCUCAACCGUGGAAGUGCAUUUGAAACUGGCAGACUUGAGUACUGGAGGGGGUAGUGGAAUUCCCGGUGUAGAGGUGAAAUUCGUAGAUAUCGGGAGGAAUACCGGUGGCGAAGGCGACUACCUGGCCAGAUACUGACACUGAGGCGCGAAAGCGUGGGGAGCAAACAGGAUUAGAAACCCCAGUAGUCC